UUGGGCAGUGCUGCUAUAGCUGGAAUUUUACCGGUCUCAGCAUUGCAGAUAUCUGAUAAGAGUGGUGUAACAGUGCAAGACAGUCUGAAGGAGAACUCUGUAGGAAUUACUGAAGAAAGUCUAUUGCAACUCAAAUAUGAUCCAAAGUCUGUUUGGGGUUAUGUUGAGGUUCAUAUUGAACAAGGACCUCUACUAGAAUGGGUUGGUUUUCCUCUAGGUGUGGUUAAAGGCAUAGCUGGACAGACACGGCUAAAGGUUGUGGUGAAAGGCUCACAAGGGCAUGCUGGCACUGUUCCAAUGUCUUUACGGCAAGACCCCAUGGCUGCUGCUGCAGAGUUAAUUGUACUGUUGGAAAGGCUCUGUAAAAAUCCUAAAGAUUUUCUGUCUUAUGAUGAUCAGUGCAAUGAUUCAACAAUUGAAUCACUUUCCAGUUCCCUUGUUUGUACUGUUGGGGAGAUAUCCACAUGGCCAAGUGCAAGUAAUGUCAUUCCAGGCCAGGUAACUUUCACGGUAGAUAUACGUGCUAUGGAUGAUAUGGGACGUGAAGCUGUCCUUUAUGAAUUAUCUAAUCAGAUGUAUCAAAUAUGUGAUAGGCGCUCUGUUUCUUGCAUCGUUGAAAGCAAGCACGAUGCAAAAGCAGUGGUCUGUGAUUCCGAACUAAGUUCACAGCUGAAGUUUGCAGCCAAUGUUGCACUCAAGAGAAUGACUGGUGAGAUUCAAGAUGAAGUUCCUAUAUUAAUGAGUGGAGCAGGACAUGAUGCAAUGGCCAUGUCUCAUCUAUCUAAGGUUGGGAUGCUAUUUGUCCGCUGCCGUGGAGGCAUAAGUCACUCUCCUGCAGAGCAUGUGUUGGAUGAUGAUGUCUGGGCUGCUGGGUUGGCAAUCGUGGCAUUUCUUGAGACCCACUUGUAAAUAGAGCAUUCAGUGAUUUUCGUACUGAAAAUAAUUUCUUUCU
RNAcentral lists this unclassified non-coding RNA (952 nucleotides) under Hevea brasiliensis (rubber tree). Lineage: Eukaryota; Viridiplantae; Streptophyta; Magnoliopsida; Malpighiales; Euphorbiaceae. The record is from RNAcentral.